This 497-nucleotide ribosomal RNA is filed under the name uncultured bacterium. Its description in RNAcentral is "partial 16S ribosomal RNA". It matches the Rfam family "Bacterial small subunit ribosomal RNA", at positions 28 to 507 of the family's 1533-position model. The record is from RNAcentral.
GAUGAACGCUGGCGGCGUGCCUAAUACAUGCAAGUCGAGCGAACAGACGAGGAGCUUGCUCCUCUGACGUUAGCGGCGGACGGGUGAGUAACACGUGGAUAACCUACCUAUAAGACUGGGAUAACUUCGGGAAACCGGGGCUAAUACCGGAUAAUAUAUUGAACCGCAUGGUUCAAUAGUGAAAGACGGUUUUGCUGUCACUUAUAGAUGGAUCCGCGCCGCAUUAGCUAGUUGGUAAGGUAACGGCUUACCAAGGCGACGAUGCGUAGCCGACCUGAGAGGGUGAUCGGCCACACUGGAACUGAGACACGGUCCAGACUCCUACGGGAGGCAGCAGUAGGGAAUCUUCCGCAAUGGGCGAAAGCCUGACGGAGCAACGCCGCGUGAGUGAUGAAGGUCUUCGGAUUGUAAAACUCUGUUAUUAGGGAAGAACAAAUGUGUAAGUAACUAUGCACGUCUUGACGGUACCUAAUCAGAAAGCCACGGCUAACUACGUG